Molecule: ribosomal RNA, 1676 nt
Filed under: Chaetodermis penicilligerus (prickly leatherjacket)
Lineage: Eukaryota; Metazoa; Chordata; Actinopteri; Tetraodontiformes; Monacanthidae
Description: 16S rRNA
Rfam family: Bacterial large subunit ribosomal RNA
Source: RNAcentral
CGCCCAACAGCUAGCCUAAAAAAACAAAAACAACAACCAACCAUUAAUAACCCCUAAUACAGGUAAUAAACUAAACAAACCAUUUUUCCACUUUAGUAUAGGAGAUAGAAAAAGAUAUUUGAGCCAUAGAGAAAGUACCGCAAGGGAAAGCUGAAAGAGAAGUGAAACAACCCAGUAAAGCAGAAAUAAGCAGAGACGACACCUCGUACCUUUUGCAUCAUGAUUUAGCUAGUUCACCUUAAGCAAAAAGAAUUUUAGUUUAAUACCCCGAAACUAAGUGAGCUACUCCAAGACAGCCUAACAUUAGGGCGCACCCUUCUCUGUGGCAAAAGAGUGGGAAGAGCUUCGAGUAGAGGUGACAGACCUACCGAACUUAGUUAUAGCUGGUUGCCUGAGAACUGGAUAGAAGUUCAGCCCCUUAUAAUUCUUAACUCAAUAAAAGCCAAGCUUAAAAUGACAAAAAGAAUGUAAGGGAGUUAGUUAAAGGAGGUACAGCUCCUUUAUUAAAAGAUACAACUUUUCGAGGAGGAUAAAGAUCACACUCACCAAGGGAUUUGUGUUUUGGUGGGCCUAAAAGCAGCCACCCAAGCAGAAAGCGUUAAAGCUCAGACACUAACACCCCCCUCUAAUAACGAUUAACCCUCUAAAUCCCCUUAUACUAACAGGCCCCCCUAUGCCCCCAUAGGGAUGAUUAUGCUAAUAUGAGUAACAAGAAAGAAAGACUUUCUCCCAGCACAAGUGUAUGUCGGAACGAACCCCCGCCGAGAAUUAAAGGCCCCAACCAAAGAGGGAACUGAAUACUCUUUAAAAGACAAGAAAAAUACUCAACCAAAAACCUUUAAACCCACACUGGAGUGCCCCCCGGGAAAAACUAAAAAAGAAAGAAGGAACUCGGCAAACACAAGCCUCGCCUGUUUACCAAAAACAUCGCCUCUUGAACCCUAAAUAUAAGAGGUCCCGCCUGCCCUGUGACUCUAAGUUUAACGGCCGCGGUAUCUUAACCGUGCGAAGGUAGCGCAAUCACUUGUCUCUUAAAUGGGGACCUGUAUGAAUGGCAUAACGAGGGCUUAACUGUCUCCUUUCUUAGGUUAGUGAAAUUGACCUCCCCGUGCAGAGGCGGGGAUGACCACAUAAGACGAGAAGACCCUAUGGAGCUUUAGGCAAAAGAGCUGCUCAUGUAAAACCCCCCUAUAAAAGGACCUAACUUUGUGAAGACAGCUAGAAUGCCUUUGGUUGGGGCGACCGAGGGGAAAACAAAACCCCCACGUGGAACGGGGUGACAAACCCUAAAAACAAGAGCUCCCGCUCUAAUUAACAGAAAUUCUGACCUUACUGAUCCGGCAGCAGCCGAUCAACGGACCGAGUUACCCUAGGGAUAACAGCGCAAUCUCCUUAUAGAGCCCAUAUCGACAAGGAGGUUUACGACCUCGAUGUUGGAUCAGGAUGUCCUAGUGGUGCAGCCGCUACUAAGGGUUCGUUUGUUCAACGAUUAAAAUCCUACGUGAUCUGAGUUCAGACCGGAGUAAUCCAGGUCGGUUUCUAUCUAUGACGUGAUUUAUUUUAGUACGAAAGGACCAAAAAAACGGGGCCCCUGUAUAAAACAAGCCUCCCCCUCAAUUGCUGACAACUACUUAAGUAAGUAAGAGGGCACACCCCAAAGCCGAAGACAAUGGCAU